GAUGAACGCUGGCGGCGUGCCUAAUACAUGCAAGUCGAGCGAACAGAUAAGGAUCUUGCUCCUUUGACGUUAGCGGCGGACGGGUGAGUAACACGUGGUUAACCUACCUAUAAGACUGGGAUAACUUCGGGAAACCGGAGCUAAUACCGGAUAACAUUUUGAACCGCAUGGUUCUAAAGUUAAAUAUGGUUUUUCUAUCACUUAUAGAUGGACCCGCGCCGUAUUAGCUAGUUGGUAAGGUAACGGCUUACCAAGGCAACGAUACGUAGCCGACAUGAGAGGGGGAACGGCCAAACGGGAAGGGAGACACGGACCAGAAGCCUACGGGAGGCAGCAGCAGGGAAGAUGCCGCAAUGGGCGAAAGCAUGACGGAGCAAAGCCGCGUGAGUGAUGAAGGGUUUCGGAUCGUAAAACUCUGUUAUUAGGGAAGAACAAAAGUGUAAGUAACUGUGCACGUAUUGACGGUAACUAAUCAGAAAGCAACGGCUAACUACGUG
RNAcentral lists this ribosomal RNA (497 nucleotides) under uncultured bacterium. RNAcentral's name for it is "partial 16S ribosomal RNA". It matches the Rfam family "Bacterial small subunit ribosomal RNA", at positions 28 to 507 of the family's 1533-position model. The record is from RNAcentral.